Molecule: ribosomal RNA, 495 nt
Filed under: uncultured bacterium
Lineage: Bacteria
Description: partial 16S ribosomal RNA
Rfam family: Bacterial small subunit ribosomal RNA
Source: RNAcentral
GACGAACGCUGGCGGCGUGCCUAAUACAUGCAAGUAGAACGCUGAAGGAGGAGCUUGCUCUUCUGGAUGAGUUGCGAACGGGUGAGUAACGCGUAGGUAACCUGCCUGGUAGCGGGGGAUAACUAUUGGAAACGAUAGCUAAUACCGCAUAACAGUAGAUGUUGCAUGACAUUUACUUAAAAGGUGCAAUUGCAUCACUACCAGAUGGACCUGCGUUGUAUUAGCUAGUUGGUGGGGUAACGGCUCACCAAGGCGACGAUACAUAGCCGACCUGAGAGGGUGAUCGGCCACACUGGGACUGAGACACGGCCCAGACUCCUACGGGAGGCAGCAGUAGGGAAUCUUCGGCAAUGGACGGAAGUCUGACCGAGCAACGCCGCGUGAGAGAAGAAGGUUUUCGGAUCGUAAAGCUCUGUUGAAAGAGAAGAACGAGUGUGAGAGUGGAAAGUUCACACUGUGACGGUAUCUUACCAGAAAGGGACGGCUAACUACGUG